GACAAUAGCUCCCGAAGAACAUUCUGGGAAAGGCUUCCUGACACCUUCUGCUUCGGAAUCACCAGGCUUCCUUUCGAGGCUUCAACUUUGUUUUUUUUUUUUUUUUUAAAAUGAGGAAGUCCUGGUAUGGGCGUCACCCGGAACUGACGGAAAACAGCCAGCCAUGCUACACAUCUAGCUACUAGGCCUGACUCUCCUAGUGUCUAUGAGACUACUGCAGUUAACCCUCUAGUCAAAUCUGGGUGCACACAACUCAUUUUCUCAAAAGACAUUUCUAGAAGCAGCCUGUCUAAAGUAGGAGAAACAUGUGCCUAGAAGCAGCGGUUCUGGGAAAGAAAACUUCCAAGGUUAUAUUUUCCUUCUGAGGAAGUGUCUCAUGGCCCGUGAAGGCUCCGCCUGCCCCAUCCUGCCCUCCAUCCGUCAUCAAAAGCCUCCAACAGUGCCCAGCUCAGUGGGAGGGGAAGAUUCCAGCCAGCACCUCUAAUCCUCACCAUAAGCUGUCUCUAGAUGAUGUAGGUGGUAUCUUUGCGGGAGUGGGGGUGGCGGUGGGGGAUAGGAGAUGGCUGACACAAGGGAGCAUUGCUCCCUUGGGAGAGCAAAGCUGAGGUGACAGCACUGUGAUUAGAGGUGGUUGCUCCACCAGGAAACACAAAACCAGGGGACAAGGUUUAUCUGUAUCUUUUUCUAGAAACCCCUGCCUUGAGUGCAGGGGGCAGGACUGCCACUGGCUUGCAGAGUGGACUGUUGUUUUUGGCUUUUUCCUCUUGCAGAGACAACGUGAGAAUUCUUUUUUGGGUACCAAGCAGGGAUGGUGGGAUUGCUCUAGGUGGGUGACUCCAACGGUUAUAGACUUUGUCCCCUGCUCCGUCUCCGAGAGAGGGAGCUUGCACCCUGCCGCCUUCUCAAAUAGGACUGCUUGAGUCCUGAUGGCAGAAGAGAAGCCUAGGGCAGCUUCCUCAUCUGCCUCUGAGUGGGGAAGUGGGAGGCACAGGAAGACUGUCUUUAUUUCUGAGUGAUCUUUAGUGCUACUUUUGGUAGAUUAUCCUUUCCCCCUGCAUCUUCUUUGGAUCAUUCUUAAAAAUUCCUGCUUCUAGCUGACUGGUUGGUGGAGAAGCUUCCUUAUGUCUUUCUUUUCUGUGCUGUGGUUUUCAGUGUGAGGGGGAGAUUGUCUUCACCUAGAGAAUGUGUGAUGACCAAAGAGAAACAGUCAAGGGGCCUUGGCUUGAAGUGUGAAAUUUGUUUGGGUUAGCAUUACCAGGGAAUCUCUGUGAUGCUUAUCAACCCAAGUCCCCCUUGCUCCAUGAGCUCCCCCAAGUCCUUGAAGGUUACUUACUGCUUAGCUGGUUUCGGAGUGAAAUGGGAAUUUGAAGUCGUAACUGGAUUUGUGAGUUGCAGCUUGCUGCUACAGUUGGCUUGACCACCAAUUAGUCCCAAUUUUCAAAUAUUGCUCUUUCUGGAACUUGAAGUACAGAUUUGUCUCGGGUAUCAUUUCCAGGCUUGCUCCUUCGUUUGUUUCUGUGUUAGUAUCCUAGACUUGCUGCCAACAGGUCUCUACAAAACAAACAGUUCCAGACAGCAUAAUUCUUCUCUCCUGGUUCUGGAGACCAGAAGUCCAAAAUCAAGGUACUGGCAGGGCCGGUGCCUUCUAGGAUCUUUGAAGGAGAGUUCAUGCCAGUUCUCCUUCCCAGCUUCUGGUGGCUGCAGUCUGUUGGGUCGCUCUCUUGGGCACGCAUUGCUUCAGUCUGCCCCUUUCCACUGCACAUGGUUCUCUUUUCUGUGUUUGUCUUUGUGUCCUCUUGCAAGGACAUCAACGAUUGCAUUUGGAGCCCAGCCUAACCCAGAUGCCUUCUCUAUCUAGCUAACUAUAACUGUAAUGACCUAGCUUCCAGAUAAAACUCUGGGGAACACAACUCUUUCGAGGGGUUGCUAUUGAGACCUUUGUAGCCUUUCUACCUUCAGACUUUCCCAUCUAGCCGCUUAGCCCCACAGGUUCAGUUGCUGUUUUUCUCAGACCUCGCUUAGCGAGGCACACCUCACCCUUGCUCCCCAAAGCCAUCAAAGGCUCCCACUGCUGACAGAAUAGAGUCCUACCUCUCUAGUUCAGUUUUAGGAGAUCCACCAUAGUCUGGUCCCAAUGAUGUUUUUGGCUGUGUCUUUAUGCUUCUACGCAUUAUCCUUCAGGUCCAUGGGAAAAGUCUUCUGCACUGUAGAUUUUGUUGUCUGGAUCAUGGACUCCAGACCCACACUCUGUCUGCUGCUUAGAUGCUUUCCUUGAAUGCCUGUGUCAUGGCUUUCUCAGGAGAACAUUUGUAAGCUGCUCUGAAUGUAGACUGACUGUUGAAUACUCUGCCUCAUUUCUUGUUUGAAGUGAUGCUCCAAAUGGAGUCUACAUUUUACCCGAAGCCCAUUUGUUAUACCUUCUUAGGUCCUUGGAUUUGGCCACAGUGCCUUGAAUCAUAUGAAAUUGGAAGCCAAGAGACACUGGGUGUAACAGACAAAGUAUCUGUGUGGGGAGCCACCACCUCUCCUCAUAGAAUCCUUAGCAACACUAGUAGCCAGAGUGAGGAUCAAGGAGGUAAAAAAGGAGAAGUAACAAAUUGAAGAACAUUAACACCUUUCAAUAUCAGCCCUGAUAGAUGCUCUGAAAACUUGAAAGUCACAAAGAGGCUUUUAACUUGUAGUGUUGGGAUAAGGCUCGGACUUCUGGCACGUGCGGCACCUAGCUAACCUAUAAUCCCUGCCCAAAAAGAUGCUUUUACUCUCAGGAUUGCUCUUAGUGUCUUUUGCUAGCUCUCAGUAAGCCCAGCGACUUUGGAAUCUUUGGUGCUACUUGAGCCCUUCCUUGCCAGGCUUUGGCAAUAGUUUUAAGAAUUGGAUGUAGAAACCCAGGCUAAUGCAAACACCUAGGUAAAACUACCUGUGUCCCCAAAUCAUUUAUGGAUAGUUUAUAUGAUGGUUUUGAUUUUGUCAAUUUGAAAGAACUUUGCACCUGUGCCUGCUUUCACCUUGCUAGAUUAUGGUAGAAACAGGAGACCCUGAAUUCCAUUAAAAAUUCUAUUUUCUUGGACCCACAACAGUUGCCUGCUGAUUUCCUGCCCUGUGGGCAUUUCAGCCUUCACUGCUCUGACACGAGAAGAGGUGUGCGAGGUGGAUUUUCCUGUCAGGGAGUCUUCACUGCUAUUUAUGUGUCUCCCACGGCAAUCUCAUUCCCGUUAGACCACAACAACAAUGGGAACAGCUGGAGUCCAAGUUUGUCCUGGCCAUCUGCAGAAAGAACAUGCCAGACUUUUGAGACUCAGAAAAGAGAGGAACCUGAGAAGGGCAUACUGUUGGUGAUUCCACCCUUAAACUUUGCUACCCCCACCCCCUCCCCAUUCAGCUUCCUGUUUCUAGAACCUUCCUUGAAACUUUAACAAAAGUACAAAGAGCAUGCCACACAAACGUAGAAGAUGGAACGGCCUUUCGACGACUUCGUGUUCUUGCUGGGGCUCAGAAUUACUCAUUAGGGCAAACCCCCUCAUACCAUGUGAGUUAACAGCCAGCCUGCUGUCAUUGCUCCAAAGAUCCAAGGUUGAAGUGGGUGUCCUUCACAGGGGCCGUCUGGAUCACCCCAACUCUAGCCUCACUUCUGAAACCAGGAAUCUGGUAUAUCUGUGCUUUCUUUUCCAACUAGACAGUGACUCGGUGGCUGGGGUAAAAGAACUCUGGAAAAAAAGUUUUGUUUGGAAUGGCAGGAGCUUCUAAACAGUCAGCUCCCUAUAAACAGGACAUCAGGCAUCCACUUUUCUUGAGUGCAUACAAAUAUUUGAUAAGAGGAUUCUGGCCCCACAGAGGGGUUGGGAGCAAGGGCUCCAUGCAGGAGACGGAGGAGUGGUGGGUGAGAAGCGUUAAUGCUGAUGGCAGGUUGCAGAAUAGAUGGAGGGAGAUGUGGGCACCUAUCUAUUGGCCACUGAUAAAGCCUCAAAACUAAAAUGGUCCUGCCCAAGUCUAGCUUAGCAAACCAGUAAGUUAAUUGGGGUUACUUAGAGAAGUUACUGGAAGGCAGCUGCCUCACCAGAAAGCCCAUGGCGGCAGGGACAUGGAGCCUGACUUGCAGGUACCCCUGGUGAAGGAAGUCUUCAUUUUACAGCACGCGUACCGCUCUUAGGACCUUGGGGAGGGUCCUGAUGAGCCUUACAAACUUCAUGAAUGUCCUGAGCAGUGUGAGUUCCUUUACCUUGCUGGGGGAGCUCCUUCUGCUCCUUUAGCCAAUAGCCUUUAAGAUACCAGCCCACUUGGGCUUGGGCUUGUUGGCUGAGUUGGGUGCCAGGUAAAGGAGUAAGUCACAAAGCAAUCCCACACCAGUUUGGAAUUAUGAUUAAUAAAAGGGUUAUUUAUUUAAAGGGAAAAACUUCCAGAUCACUGUCCUAGACAACAGACCUUUGCACAACUAGGAAAAGGAACCUGGUAGCCGGAAGCAGAUUCCGAAGCAAGAGAGAGAGUGUGCAUGGCUACCACUGCUUUUUCAAGCCAAAUAGACCACAUCCAAGUGGUCUGGUAUCUUAAAGGCUAUUGACUGAAGGAGCAGAAGGAGCUCCUGCAACAUUACCUUCCAGGUCUCAUGAGCCUCUCUCCUCCUUCCAAGAGGGAAUUCUUUGAAGGCAGCGAAACAGUUUCCCAAGGAAGAUGGCACACUUGUUUCUAAUGUCUGCCAGAAAAAAUGACCGUAAAGGAAAUGAACUGAAACCAUAGGAAUUUUCUCUCUUCCAGUCCCAGAGGUCAGAGGCAUGAGGCGCAUCUUCCUGGGACGACUUCCAAAUGUGAGCCAUACUGUGUUCCGUCAGGGGCUCCAACAUCCAAAUGUGAACCAUGCCAUGUUCCUUCAGGAGGCUUCAAGGGGGAAGCUUGCCAUCUUGCCCCAGUUUUUGAGGUCACCUGCAUCUCUUGGCUCCUGGUCCUUUACCCUUUUCAAAACCGGAGUAUUAGAUUUGUCUUUGAUUUCUUACUACUCCCUGGUAACCUCCUCUCCCUUUUGAGGGCUCCUGGAAUGACCAUGGGCUUAGCCUGCCCCAUCCCGAUAAUCUCCUGCUCUCAAGGUUUUCAGACAGGCCACUGAAAUUCUCCCCACUACUUCAGUUCUCCCUUGAUGCAGCAUACGCAUAGGUUCUGAGAGAAAGGACACACACAACUCUGGGUGGGAAACACCCUUUUACUGCGAGGGAGGCUCCCGAUGGCCAUUGUAGUGUCAUUAUCCUUGUUCGAUACAGACACUUGAGGAAACUUGACCUCAGACAGUUUAUGUGAAUUCCAACUGUUGGCUCCACAGGAGGAAAAAAAAAUGCCCCUGAGCCACUUGGGCCAUUUGCCACAAAGUAGCAAGCAAAACCCUGUCGGUAGGCUUGGGGCCUUUACCUUCCAGUUCACUUUGCUGUACCUGGGCCUCAUCCUUGUCCAGUCUUAAGGAAUAGUGCUACUCCACGGACUCAGAAUGGACUUGAUCCAGCCAUAAGGAAUAAAGAGUGCCUCUCCACGGACUCAGAAUGGAUUUGAUCCAGCCAUAAGGAAUGGUGCCUCUCCACGGACUCAGAAUGGACUUGAUCCAGUCAUAAGGAAUGGUGCCUCUCCACGGACUCAGAAUGGACUUGAUCCAGCUGUAAGGAGUUUUAUUGUUUGAACAAGGGCAUAGACUUUUAGAAUUAUACUUUUUGAGUGCCCAGUUGGGAACAUUGAACUUUAGUGAUCAAGAGCUCCAAAAGCCUGAGAUCCUGUAUGUUCCCCUUGAGAACUCUACAAAGAAGGCCUAAAGAGUGAGCACCCACAGCAAUCGUUUCUGCCUAAGUGGCUGCUGUAGGUUUUGCCAUAUGGUUACCAUGUUGGAUGAGGCUAGCCCCUAGAAUUAAAGAGGACUUUAGCCACUGGGUACUCAUAGUGAUGGAGCUGGCGACUCUGGUAUACAGUUCAACUCUUAAGACAGAAGGUGGUUCAGUGGGCAAUAAAGGAAAUCUUCCGGCAAGGUCAGUGACAGAGGGGAAGCCACAGGAAGACUUAGUGCAUGAUUGUUUUCUCUUGGAAAGAGCAAACCAUGAUAUGGGGAAACGUAUUCAGAGGAGGUGUCUGGAUUUCUUUUAGAAAGUUACCAGCUCUUAAGACAGAAGGUGGUUCAUUGGGCAAUAGAAGAAAUCUUCAGGCAAGGUCAACUGUCAGAGGGGAAGCCGCAGGAAGACUUUAGUGCAUGAUUUUUUCUCUUGGAAAGAGCAAAUCAUGAUCUGGGGAAAGAGAUUCCCAGAGGAGGCAUCCGGAUCUCAUUUUGAAAGCUAUCACCCUCUAAGUCAGCUUACCCUGUCAGCUGUCCAGCGGUUUACCCUACCCUCUGCAUUUAAAGAUGGAAGCUGGCCAAGGACAGGAUCUAAGGCCUUUUUUUGCUAGGAAAGUGAAUUCUUUAGAACUCUGAGAUGAAUCCAGUCUGUGAAGAAAGAUGAGGCACUGAGGAGAGAUUUUGGGGGCCACCGAGAAAGGCGGCUGGCCCUAAUUCCUGGAGGAGCAUCAUGAAGGGACGACGGGAGACUCAUGGAAAAGUCACUCUGGCAUAGUACUACAGAGUUUCCUUUCAGCCCCGCCAGCAACAGGCGGAAAGGGGAAUCCAGAUCCCGCCCCUAUGCCAAAUGAUGAACAAGCUGAAGCAAGACACCUGCAUCCAGCUGUAGCUUGGAGGCAGGUCCCGCGAGCAGAAGGCAACAGAAGGCAAAGCACAGUAGCUUCCGGCUUCUCCCUCCCACAGGUGUCUCCAAGGAGGCUUCACAAGGUGAUCCAUUCACAUGCAGAGAGUCCCAUAUACGAGUGCACAGUGUGAUUGCACACCCCGAAGAAAUGUGAUAGGCUUGGGGCCACAACAUGCUUCUGUGUUAUGUCAUACACAGUCACACACGUGUAGAGAGCAGCAACUGUGUUGAAAGCGGCAGCGAUGGAGAGCAACCAGGAAGAGAAUGGUUCAUGUUGAGGAUGGAUGGAUGGAUGGUUAUGGGAAGAUGCAAGAAGACCACACAAGGCGAUGGGAGCUUCCAGGGUUGUCGUUAACCCGGACCUUGCACCUGUCCCUGGCCUCUCCUCUUUCCAAUGGGAUGGGCUCAGCAAAUGCCUGGAAUGUCAGUAUAUUUGCCAAAUUAUUUGUGGUUAUUUUAGGACCAGAGCCCGCGAAACAUGAUUGGAAAGGACCCACAGUUGAGAGUCCACGGUGUCUUUCCCACAGGCACUCUGGUUUUCUCCCGAGCUGGGAAAGUGUCACUAGAGGAACGGUGACAAAUGAGAGCAAAAUACACUGAUACCCAUGUGUGAAAAUGUCACAACGAAACCCGACGCUUUGUAUUUGAACCCCCACGUUAAGGAACACGUAGUAAUGAAAUAAAUCAAACUGAGAAGAAUUAUUUUCUGCCUUCAGAGAUCUCUCGGCAUCCCCUCCUACGUUGUUCGCAUCCCUGCAGAGCGCAGGUAAAGGAGUGAAGGCA
Myodes glareolus (Bank vole) is the source of this 7481-nucleotide long non-coding RNA. RefSeq lists it as uncharacterized. NCBI's taxonomy places the organism in Eukaryota, Metazoa, Chordata, Mammalia, Rodentia, Cricetidae. The record is from RefSeq and is a predicted model, not a curated record.